RNAcentral lists this ribosomal RNA (400 nucleotides) under uncultured bacterium. RNAcentral describes it as "bacterial SSU rRNA". It matches the Rfam family "Bacterial small subunit ribosomal RNA", at positions 356 to 773 of the family's 1533-position model. The record is from RNAcentral.
GGGGAAUAUUGCACAAUGGGCGAAAGCCUGAUGCAGCAACGCCGCGUGAAGGAAGAAGGUCUUCGGAUUGUAAACUUCUAUCAGAUGGGAAGAUAAUGACGGUACCAUACUAAGAAGCCCCGGCUAACUACGUGCCAGCAGCCGCGGUAAUACGUAGGGGGCAAGCGUUAUCCGGAAUUACUGGGUGUAAAGGGUGCGUAGGCGGCAAGAUAAGUCAGGUGUGAAAUUCCCGUGCUUAACAUGGGAGCUGCACUUGAAACUGUUUAGCUAGAGUACAGGAGAGGUAAGUGGAAUUCCUAGUGUAGCGGUGAAAUGCGUAGAUAUUAGGAGGAACACCAGUGGCGAAGGCGACUUACUGGACUGUAACUGACGCUGAUGCACGAAAGCGUGGGGAGCAAAC